CAGCCGCCGCGGUAAUACGUAGGGUGCAAGCGUUAAUCGGAAUUACUGGGCGUAAAGCGUGCGCAGGCGGUUAUAUAAGACAGAUGUGAAAUCCCCGGGCUCAACCUGGGAACUGCAUUUGUGACUGUAUAGCUAGAGUACGGCAGAGGGGGAUGGAAUUCCGCGUGUAGCAGUGAAAUGCGUAGAUAUGCGGAGGAACACCGAUGGCGAAGGCAAUCCCCUGGGCCUGUACUGACGCUCAUGCACGAAAGCGUGGGGAGCAAACAGGAUUAGAUACCCAGUAGUCCCUGUCUCUUAUACA
This 301-nucleotide ribosomal RNA is filed under the name uncultured bacterium. RNAcentral describes it as "partial 16S ribosomal RNA". It matches the Rfam family "Bacterial small subunit ribosomal RNA", at positions 509 to 808 of the family's 1533-position model. The record is from RNAcentral.